UCAACUUGAGAGUUUGAUCCUGGCUCAGAACGAACGCUGGCGGCAGGCCUUAUACAUGCAAGUCGAGCGCAUCCUUCGGGAUGAGCGGCGGACGGGUGAGUAACGCGUGGGAAUGUGCCCUUCUCUACGGAAUAGCCACUGGAAACGGUGAGUAAUACCGUAUACGCCCUCAGGGGGAAAGAUUUAUCGGAGAAGGAUCAGCCCGCGUUAGAUUAGGUAGUUGGUGGGGUAACGGCCUACCAAGCCUACGAUCUAUAGCUGGUUUUAGAGGAUGAUCAGCCACACUGGGACUGAGACACGGCCCAGACUCCUACGGGAGGCAGC
RNAcentral lists this ribosomal RNA (324 nucleotides) under Rhodobacteraceae bacterium TMED38. RNAcentral describes it as "bacterial SSU rRNA". It matches the Rfam family "Bacterial small subunit ribosomal RNA", at positions 1 to 352 of the family's 1533-position model. RNAcentral also lists the same sequence under 1 other name. The record is from RNAcentral. Lineage: Bacteria; Pseudomonadati; Pseudomonadota; Alphaproteobacteria; Rhodobacterales; Paracoccaceae.